RNAcentral lists this ribosomal RNA (1139 nucleotides) under Oerskovia sp. Its description in RNAcentral is "bacterial SSU rRNA". It matches the Rfam family "Bacterial small subunit ribosomal RNA", at positions 59 to 1210 of the family's 1533-position model. The record is from RNAcentral. Lineage: Bacteria; Bacillati; Actinomycetota; Actinomycetes; Micrococcales; Cellulomonadaceae.
AAGUCGAACGGUGAUGACCAGCUUGCUGGUCGGAUCAGUGGCGAACGGGUGAGUAACACGUGAGUAACCUGCCCCAGACUCUGGGAUAAGCCUUGGAAACGAGGUCUAAUACUGGAUAUGAGAUGCCCCUGCAUGGGGAGUGUCUGGAAAGAUUUAUCGGUCUGGGAUGGACUCGCGGCCUAUCAGCUUGUUGGUGGGGUAAUGGCCUACCAAGGCGACGACGGGUAGCCGGCCUGAGAGGGCGACCGGCCACACUGGGACUGAGACACGGCCCAGACUCCUACGGGAGGCAGCAGUGGGGAAUAUUGCACAAUGGGCGCAAGCCUGAUGCAGCGACGCCGCGUGAGGGAUGAAGGCCUUCGGGUUGUAAACCUCUUUCAGCAGGGAAGAAGCGCAAGUGACGGUACCUGCAGAAGAAGCGCCGGCUAACUACGUGCCAGCAGCCGCGGUAAUACGUAGGGCGCAAGCGUUGUCCGGAAUUAUUGGGCGUAAAGAGCUCGUAGGCGGUUUGUCGCGUCUGGUGUGAAAACUCAAGGCUCAACCUUGAGCUUGCAUCGGGUACGGGCAGACUAGAGUGCGGUAGGGGUGACUGGAAUUCCUGGUGUAGCGGUGGAAUGCGCAGAUAUCAGGAGGAACACCGAUGGCGAAGGCAGGUCACUGGGCCGCAACUGACGCUGAGGAGCGAAAGCAUGGGGAGCGAACAGGAUUAGAUACCCUGGUAGUCCAUGCCGUAAACGUUGGGCACUAGGUGUGGGGCUCAUUCCACGAGUUCCGUGCCGCAGCAAACGCAUUAAGUGCCCCGCCUGGGGAGUACGGCCGCAAGGCUAAAACUCAAAGGAAUUGACGGGGGCCCGCACAAGCGGCGGAGCAUGCGGAUUAAUUCGAUGCAACGCGAAGAACCUUACCAAGGCUUGACAUACACCGGAAACUUCCAGAGAUGGUUGCCCCGCAAGGUCGGUGUACAGGUGGUGCAUGGUUGUCGUCAGCUCGUGUCGUGAGAUGUUGGGUUAAGUCCCGCAACGAGCGCAACCCUCGUCUUAUGUUGCCAGCACGUCAUGGUGGGGACUCAUAAGAGACUGCCGGGGUCAACUCGGAGGAAGGUGGGGGAUGACGUCAAAUCAUCAUGCCCCUUAUGUCUU